GCAAACUUGGUCAUUUAGAGGAAGUAAAAGUCGUAACAAGGUCUCCGUUGGUGAACCAGCGGAGGGAUCAUUACCGGGUUCGCCGAAAGGCGAUUUCCCACCCAAAAAACCCCAUGUGAACCUCUACCGAUGUUGCCUCGGCGGUGCCCCGGGACCGGACCCCCCGCCCACGCGGGAGGCCCCCGGGGGCUCCCACCGCCGGCGGCCCUGAAGAAACGCAUCUCCCAGAGACAGACCUCUUGAGAAAUACGCUGUAAAAAGCAAAACCGAUACAACCUUCAACAGUGGAUCUCUUGGUUCCGGCAUCGAUGAAGAACGCAGC
Molecule: unclassified non-coding RNA, 322 nt
Filed under: uncultured fungus
Lineage: Eukaryota; Fungi
Description: partial contains small subunit ribosomal RNA, internal transcribed spacer 1, and 5.8S ribosomal RNA
Rfam family: Eukaryotic small subunit ribosomal RNA (bases 1-73)
Source: RNAcentral